Molecule: non-coding RNA, 720 nt
Organism: Coffea arabica (coffee)
Lineage: Eukaryota; Viridiplantae; Streptophyta; Magnoliopsida; Gentianales; Rubiaceae
Source: RefSeq, a predicted model, not a curated record
ACAUGACUGUGUACAAGUAAAAUAAGUACUCACAAGCAAACAGAACAGGAAACAGCUUUACUAGCUUACUCGAAAGCAGCCCGUAAAAACAUCAUCUGUUUUGUAAAACUAGAAAGCGUUUUCCUAUUCUUGCUCAUCAGAGACCAGCUGCACAAACUUGAGGCUAGAUUCUUGUGCUGGACAUGUAGAUGCGGUUUCAUGAAUUUGCCAGCAAUGCUAAUGCUUACGCUGCCAUGAUUCACGACCAAAGAGGCAGCUAAGACCUGGAGACUGGGAGUGCACCUCGUGUAAUUUCUUAAAUUUCAAAGGCAAUAUUGUGUGCAAGAAGUGCAACCAUGAAGGCCCAAAAGAUGUGGACACACAGUAUGAGCAGCAGAUAUGGAAGAAGCCUUUUUAAGAAACGUGUUUAUGGUAAGACACUUAAGUUCACAUGUGAAAUCUGCUUCUUUAAUACACUAGCAUGGAAGAUAAUUUACUCGAAAAGAGAUUCUGAGGCUUCAACUGGAGGAAUACUCUGAAACAGGCCGACACAACCAAGUUGGUGCUUUCUUUUGUGCUGCGGGCACAUAUGGUUAGAUGAAUGUUCUCUUUCAACUCUUCCUCGGGUAUCAGAAAAUCAGAGAUAAAAUCUCAAAUCUCUUUGUAAGUAUUUAUUUCUUCCUUUUUUGUUCAGAACUUCCAACGCAUGGCUUCUGCAAAUGGAAAGUUUUCUUUGUCCCA